RNAcentral lists this long non-coding RNA (38403 nucleotides) under Zea mays. RNAcentral's name for it is "long non-coding RNA (ZMAY_LNC005768)". The record is from RNAcentral. Lineage: Eukaryota; Viridiplantae; Streptophyta; Magnoliopsida; Poales; Poaceae.
UUUUACCAAAUUCCUCUCUUUUAAUAGCCGCCGCCCACGUCAACUCCCUCUCCUCCACCAAAUCCGCCCAUCUCCAUUGAUUUAUGAGGGAAAAACUACGGAGAAAUCGGAUCUGCUCCCAUCCUUCACUCUCUUGCGUGGAUUGGAUUUGAGCUUCUCUCCAAGGUACGUUCAUGGUGUUCUUGGAAGUCCCUUCGAUUUCUUGAAAUUUCUUGUAAAUCCACUCAAGAUAGAAGCAAUGUGUGUUGUAUGGAUGGAUUUCUCUAUGGAUUUACACUCUAUUGGGUGAGAUCGAGAGAAAACACGGUUGAACUGUUCAUGCUCAGUUGAACCCAUCCCUUGGGUCGAUUGAACCAUUCAGGAACGAGUUCAUCAUGUUUCCCUCUUCGAUUUCAUCACCACACCUUGUAUUAGUUGUCUCACACACCUUGUCUGUCAUUUGGAAGAUGGUGCGUCCUCGAAAGCCCUAUGCUGUGGAGAGUGAUUUGGAGGACUCUUCCGCCGAGAUCGAAGAAGAAGUUAUUUUCUAAAUCUUUUUUAAAAUAAAUUUCUACACCAUAAAUUUUCUACUAAAACAUGCAAUAAUAUAGAUUCAGUGGGUAGAUCAUUUCAUAAGGAAGUCAAUAAAACAAGUUUCACGAUUUUUGCAGCUACCAAACAUGAUAUAUGCAUUUUUGAAUAUAUUAAGAAAUCUGUAGAUUUGAAGCAAAAGGCAUUUAGUCCUAGCCACUCGGGCCCACCUAUCAUCCACUCCAGAGAGAGCUUCUUCUAUGCUGGUCUAGCAAAGAACACAAGUGGGUGGAGGUCACGGCUGCAAAGCCAAUGGAGCGUGGAGAAGGGAAGGAGAAGCUGUGCGACAGAGACGGUGCCGGGGCUUGGAGGUUGUGGCCGACGGCUGGAGAUGGUGGAUUGGUGGCCGGCGUUGGAGGAGGCUGACGGCGCUGGGGAAGACGAGCAACCGGAGCAAAGCAGGGGCGAGCUCUAGGCGCUCCUGGCCUGGGCAUCGACGCACGCCGCAGGAAGCGGAUAAGGGAGGCUGCGACAUGGCGCGCGACUCGCCGGAGAUGUGGGGCCGAGGGAGAGGAGGAAGACAUACCGGGUCCACAAUACAUAUACACAAACCCCCAAGGCCUCACAUGACAGACAACAACACACCCAUGCCCACUCAGGUGCACUGAUAGCAUGGCGCUUCCGAGCACCCUGGACUGCCUCCUGUGCUUGGUAUGUCAACGUAGUAGUUCUCACAUCCUCACAUAGUCACAUUCCCCCCUCCUUAAAAUUCGAUUUGUCCUCAAGUCAAUGCAGAAUCUGAACAAAUUUAGGAUCAUGAUGCCAUGAGCGAAGCAUGUCUUGAACUGAAACAUUGGCUCUUUGUUUAGCAAUUAGCAUAUCCAAAAUAAGCAAACUUCACACAUCUGCUAUUGUGGUCACUUUGGCAGCCAGGUUCCCCAUAAUCACUGAUUUGCACUAGAAUAAGCAGCUUCCGUGAUAACUUCCAGUGGCAGAUCAAACAAAUCAAGGAUUCCAGUGUUGCCUUCCUAGAUUUAGAUACUUGUGUAAUGUUAACUCCAGACAAGUGUAUCUGAUAUAUACUUAUCCAAGUCCCAUGAAGAAAAAUCAGCAAACAAACACUGAAUAUCAGAUGAUCGAAGGAUGGCAAACCCAGCAACUGAAGACGAUUUUUCAUGUAUUUGGAUAAGGUCCUCCUGUAAAGCAUUACAUAGAUUUUGGAUCCAACCACAUGUAUAAUUGCCUGACAACUGAGCAAUAUUCUUGACUUGGACUUAGAGGCCGCCUUGGAGAGUUUUAGUGACCAGCUAAAAUAUAAGUUUGCAUAACUCAUACAACUCAAAACAAAAUUUGGCCAGGGCAUAGUACGAUUUGUACCACCCUCCAGCCAAAUCUCCAAUGAAAUGGGUGGGGCCCCUUAAACUUGGCAUUGGAGCAGUGCAAGCAUGUAGCCAAGAAAUGCGGCAACAGCAAGGAGUGCCACUCCUAGAGGAAAAUCAGCUUCAUGUUGGUACACACAGUCAUCAAAGUGGAGCUGAAUCUCCCGAAUUGUUUGGUUUCCUCUGUCAAUCACCAGAAGGGAGCAACUACUGCCAAUGUAAUAACAAACUUCAAAAUCAGUAGACGAUUUUGCCUCGUCACUUGGUCCGUCAACCUGCCCUCCUCUGCCUGAUUUCCCCCAGUAAUGAUUGUAACCCGUGUAUAACUGUUCUUUCUAAUAGCCAUGUUCAUGGCAUCAGCCACACAUAUAUUACCUUUGUCAUCGACUGUAACUCCCUUCGGGUGGUAUAUCCUCCCCUCUCGCAGGUUCCCAUCAACAUGACCAGGAAAUCCUUCGAGAGAACCGGCAACAAGCUUUGGUCUGCUAUCUCGGGACAGCGGCAGCGCCAUGCUGUAGAUGUUGCUGUCCAUGAUGAGUAUUUCGCUGCCCUGGGUAACCUCCAUGGAGUAGGGCUCGAUCCCCAGCUUACUGUAGUCAAGGAUCUUCUCCACAGUGUACCCGCACUCAUAUUUCACCAUCGACUUUCCCCCGCUCGCUGCUAUAGCGUUGUUGAUGAUGAUGCAAGGACGUACAAAAGCAUCUUUGCCCUUCAAAAGGCAUAAAGCAUUGUUAAAAACCUCGCCAAAGAGCAUCUUAUCGCCCAUUUCAUCUCUAUACCACCCAGUAAGCUUGGUCAUGGCUGCAUUCCACUCGGUCAACCUCCCAAAUUGGUCAUCACCAAAUAUUGGAGGAAUUAGUGGGUUCUGGUUGUAGAUGAUUGUCUUGUAAUCUCCCUCAACCCCAGUAAAUUUGUCCAUGAGUAACCUGUGAACGGUCAUAUCCUGGGCUACAAAGCACACCCCAACAACAUGGUCAUGAAGAUCACGACUGGCACAAGCAUUCACAACCAAGAUAACAGGGUCAUCAUCCCUCUUGGAACCAUGUGUUUUCAACUCAAAUCAAACUUCCUUCUCUUCUCUGCCUAUAGCGCUCAUAGACUUUUGAGCUCCAAUCUUAAUGUCAUCAUGCAACAUAGAGCCACAGUUGCAGCUGAAGCAAUUAAUCAAACACUUGGCGGGCGAUGCAGGAACCGUGUCCACCUCCUCGGGCUCCUGCAGGAGAGAGGAAGCCAGGGAAGAGAUGCGAACCGGGCACAGCUCACAGGACGUGGUGGCGAGGUUGUCGAGGCAACCACAUGCUCCGACGAGCUGUUCACUGAUGUCACAGUCUUCGAAGGCCACGCCGUGGAGAGGUGGCACCACCUGGAGUGUCACAGCCCUUGGCCGACAACGACGAUCACCGCGACGUGAGCACCAGGAAUCGCCGUCAAGGGAACAGACACACGGAUGUCUCAGGUAGCGUGUUUCUUCUCUAUUAUUUUCUCAACCCUUUUUCAAGCAUCAGACAACAUUAUAUCACUCCUUACAUGGGCCGGCCCAUAAUGCCACACGCACUCACCCAAAGACAGCCCAAAAUGGCGCACACCAGUCCCUGUUCACCCUUCGACACCUUCGCUUCAAACUCCAGCUUCUGGCUCCUCUCCCGCGUUCUCUGUAUUCUGCGUUAUGACACCCGCUGGCGUGACAUCUGCCCCCCUGAACGCUUGCUUGGCCCCAAGCAAGAGCAUCCGGAUAGCGCUGGCGCAGAACAUAGUAAUCUUCCCAGGUUGUGGCGUCCGCUGGAACAUGACUCCACCUGAUCAGCACCUGUGGCACAGCCCGAUUCCCUUUUUUGACCAAUCUGCGAUUCAGUAUCUCCAAAGGCUGGACAUUGUGACCACUCAGAUCAGAGGAAGUAGGAAGAGUAGCAAAGACUGGAGUGUAGUCUGGAAUAUAUGGUUUCAGUUGUGACACAUGAAACACCGGGUGCACCUGAGCAGCAGCCGGCAGCUCCAAACGAUAAGCCACUGCACCCACACGUUCCAAUAUCUUGUAAGGGCCGAAGAACUUAAAGGCAAGUUUAGGACACGGCCGACUGACCACAGUGUGCUAGGUAUACGAUUGGAGUUUGAGCAGAACCAUGUCACCGACGUUAAACUGGCGUUCGGUCCGGAGCCGAUCUGCCUUCAGCUUAAUGCGGUUCUGGGCUGCGGCAAGCUGCUCCCGCAACAUCGAAGUGAACUGAGCCCUUUCCUCUAACAGCUGUGCCACAUCAACAAUAGCAUCAGAUGGGAUAUGAGGUGCUGCUGCAAAUGGAGGGUCAUAACCGUACAACACUUUGAAAGGAGAACAAGCCAGUGAAGUGUGGUAUGUGGUGUUGUACCAAAAUUCUGCCAGAGGCAACCAAUUCUUCCAUUUAGAAGGUUGAGCAUGGACUGCACACCGUAGGUACAUCUCCACACAUUGGUUAACCCGCUCACUCUGGCCGUUAGUCUGGGGGUGAUAGGCUGUGCUCAGGUUCAGCUUAGUGCCCAACAGCUUGAAUAAUUGACUCCAAAAUAUGCUCGUAAAGAUUUUAUCCCUGUCGCUGACAAUAGAUCUCGGAAGACCAUGCAAGCGGACCACCUGAUCCAACACAACCUGAGCCACUUGUGCUGCAGUGAAAGGAUGUUUCAGAGCAAUAAAAUGGGCGUACUUCGAGAAGCGGUCCACCACAACCAAGAUUGUAUCAUAGCCACUGGACUUGGGCAGUUUUUCGAUGAAAUCCAUUGCAAUAUCCUGCCAGGCGCCUUGAGGAACCGAAAGUGGUUGCAAUAAACCAGCCGGGUGAACUCUCUCUCCUUUGGCCUUUUGACAAAUUUGACACUGUUUGACAAAAUCUUCCACAUCGGUCUUCAUGCCCUUCCAAACAAACAAUUUCUUCAAUCGAUGAUAAGUGGCGUGCACCCCCGAGUGACCACCCAUGGUACUGUCAUGCAAUGCUGCCACCAACUUCGUCCGGAGAGCUGAAUUGUGGCCAACCCAAAUUAAAUUGCCCUUCCUGAUGACUCCCUGAGAAAGAGAGUAGCCAUACUCAUCCGGGCUGUGGACACACAACCGAGUCAACAGUGACUGCGCAUCAGAAUCAGUCACAUAAGAAUUGGUAACUUCUUGAAUCCAGCGAGGUUGAACUUCAAUGACUGCUGUCAACGCCAUCACACAGCCCACCCGAGAAAGAGCAUCAGCGACUUUCUUCUCCUUGCCCGGCUUGUAGAUUACUUUAAACUGCAUCCCCAUAAGCUUUGCCAUGGCUUUACGUUGCAACUCCGAAUGAAGCUCCUGACUGCCCAAGAAACUGAGAGCCUUGUGAUUCGUCCGGAUUUCAAACUCACUCCGUUGGAGAUAAUGACGCCAACGAUCCACAGCCAUAAUCAGGGCGAUGAACUCCUUCUCAUAGAUUGAAAGCUUCUGAUUGGAAACUCCCAACGCCUUGCUCAAGAAAGUGAUAGGUCUGCCCUGCUGCAUCAACACUGCUCCUACCCCGUCAUCACAGGCGUCAGUUUCAACAGCAAAGGGUAUGUUAAAAUCAGGUAAUGCCAAAACUGGCGUGGAAACCAUGGCCUGCUUCAGACGCUGAAAAGCAACCUCAGCUUCUGGUGUCCACUUGAAGGCCCCUUUCUGUAGUAACUUCGUUAGUGGUCGAGCAAUUAUCCCGUACCCUUGCACAAAGCGCCUGUAAUACCCGGUCAACCCAAGAAAACCUCGCAAAUCAGUGACAGUCAUUGGUGUCGGCCACUUGAGCAUAGCUUCGGUUUUCUGAGGAUUAGUAGCCACACCCUCACCCGAUAUAACAUGGCCCAAAUAAAUCAGCUCCUUUUUACCAAAGACACAUUUCCUCUCUUUGAGAUAGAACUUGUGGUCCCUUAAAGUAGCAAAGACCAACCGCAGGUGCUCCAAAUGAGAGUGCCAAGUGGGACUAUAAAUCAAUAUAUCAUCAAUAAAGACCAUAACAAAUUUUCGGAGAAAAGGAGCUAGCACCAAGUUCAUCGCACACUGGAAUGCAGCAGGAGCGUUAGUAAGUCCGAAGGGCAUGACUCAAAACUGGUAGUGACCCUGGUGAGUUUUAAACGCAGUCUUAAACUCCUCGGAGGCGCCCAUACGCACCUGAUGAUACCCCGAAGUCAUGUCCAGACUGGAAAAGAAUUUAGUGCCGACAAGCUCAUCCAAAAUCUCCUCGACCACCGGCAUCGGAAACCGAUUCUUGAUGGCCAUAUCAUUGAGCUUACGGUAAUCCACACAGAACCGUCACGUACCAUCCUUCUUUUGCACUAAAAGGACCGAAGAAGCAAAUGGACUCACACUGGGGGUGAUCAAACCAGAUUUCAACAACGCAGCCACCUGCUUCUCAAUCUCCGUCUUAUGAUGAGGAGAAUAUUUGUAGGGUCGAUCAUUGACCGGGAUGGACCUAGGGAGCAAAGGAAUAUGAUGGUCAAACGGUCGAGAUGGUGGCAGUUCAGUUGGUGUAACAAAAAUGUCACUGAAUUCCCCCAACAAUACCUGCAAUUCUAGAUGGACCUCAUUGCUGUUCUCCUCAAUCACCUCCUCCAACAAUGCAAACACCCAGAUAUCAUUCCCUCGCAGCCAUUUCGCCACCUAUAUAGUAGAAACUUCCUUCACAACCUGUUGCUGAGCAGUAUUGCCCACCAACUGAACUUCCACUCCAUUGUCCACAAAGCUAAUAACCUUAUCAUCCCAAUCACAAUGCAUAGGACUAUGGCGACGCAACCAAUCAUAGCCCAAAAUAGCAUCAUAUGCUCCCAGCCCCAACACCCUCAUAUCACAUUGAUAUGUAUGCCCAUUGGUCCACCAUUCCAAUGAUCGUACCAUCGUGUCACUAUGCAAAAUUUCCCCAUUUGCCACUCUCACUUUAGCUGAAGCACACAGAUGCACUUGCAGCCCCAUUCGAUCGACCAACUGCUUGUUAAUGAAACUAGUGGAGCUUCCCGAAUCAACCAGCACCAACAUCACUUGAUUUUGCAACAAGGCUCUCAGAGCCAUACAUUCAUCAUUUGUAGUACCACUAAGAGCAUUAAGGGACAACAUAAAAUUCUCCUCUUCCCCUUUUUCCUCCUGCUCAAUUUGUGUCAACGUGUGCUCAGAUAGUGUCAUCCCCAAAUCCUCGGCAGUGAGGGCAUGUAACUGCAUCUGGAUUUUUUUGGACAGCGAGCUUGAUGGCCAGGUUCAAACUUGUCGCCACAAGUAUAGCACAGACCAUUCUGCCUCCUAUACUCCUUCACCAAUCUCUCUUUAGACAACUCGAGUAAGGAAGCAGUCGCUCUAGUGUCGGACCUGGACACAGCACCCCCCAAUCGACCCUGAUUGACCAUCUUGAAUGGUUUCUGUUGCUGUUUGUCCAAAAUACCUUGUUGGAUCCUGUCUAACAAUGCUGCUCGUUCCAUUGACGCUGGCAAAUGAGACUUAACCGGUCCUUGUAGCUCUUGCUUCAACCCCUUAAUGAAAUGGGCCACAUACAAAGUCUCAUCUAAAUCAUGAUUAUGGACAGAAGUUGCAUAUCGCGCCUCAUCAAACACCUUUUUGUACUCCUCCACAGAUCCAAUCUGCCUAAUCUCCAGUAAGGACUGCAUAGCUUGUGAAUACUCCUCCGACCCAAACUUCAGCAUCACAGCUUCACAAAAUUCCUCCCAUGAACAUGGACCAUACUGAAUUUUAAAAAUCUGAAACCACCUCUUAGCAUUCCCCUCCAUGUUCAACGAUGCUGACAUCACCCAAACUGACUCAGGCACUCGAUACAAAGUGAAGUAAUCCACACACCGAUCAAUCCAGAUACGAGGUUCCGCCCCUUCAAAUUUAGGAAAUGGCAUACGUGGUAUUGGAAGAUGCCCUCCUUCAAAAUCCUCAACCCACUGCCCUCCAGUCUCUCUCGGACGACCCAAAGGCACCCUCGCAUACCUGCGCUGUGGACCUGGAGGAGCAAGAGGCAGAGAUGUUGGAGGCCCGCCGCGAUGCCGCUCACUGCGGACAGUCUGCGCUGACUCCAUUUCCCGCGCCAUCUGCUCGAGACGGAGUUCCGCGAGCGCCUUCUCCGCUUGAUCCAACUGCUGCGCGAAGCGAACCCGUUCUUCCAUCGCCUGCCGAGCCACAUCGUCCGCCAACCCCGCUUGCGCCAGCAACUGUUGUUGAACGUCAUCCAUACUCAGCACCUUCUCCGUGAGCCGAUCGAGUUGCGCCAUCACCCGAUCCCAACGAUCGGCAUCAUCUCGCUCCUUGGUCGUCAUCACCUCCCGGAGAAUCUUGGGCUGCGCCGACGGCUUCGGUGUGGGCGCCGUAGCGGCACUCGGUGUGGGAACACGAGGAAGGGGAUCCACGCCGAGGAUGCCUGAAUCUGAUACCAGUUGUCACAGCCCUUGGCCGACGACGACGAUCGCCGCGACGUGAGCACCAGGAAUCGCCGCUAAGGGAACAGACACACGGAUGUCUCAGGUAGCGUGUUUCUUCUCUAUUAUUUUCUCAACCCUUUUCCAAGCAUCAGACAACAGUAUAUCACUCCUUACAUGGGUCGGCCCAUAAUGCCACACACGCACUCACCCAAAGACAGCCCAAAAUGGCGCACACCAGUCCCUGUUCACCCUUCGACACCUUCGCUUCAAACUCCAGCUUCUGGCUCCUCUCCCGCGUUCUCUGUAUUCUGCGUUAUGACACCCGCUGGCGUGACAUGGAGUCCGCGCAGGUGUGGGGCAAACAUAAUCGCUGGAUCCUCUUGAUGAUGAGGGUCGGUGGAGUCUGCGACGGGGACAACGCUGAAGUCGACGUGGACGAGCGGGUUGAUGUGCGCGAGAGCGACCGCAGAGUCGACGACGAACUCGUCGACCGUUGAGAGAUGUGCCUCGACGUUUGCGCGGAGGGCAGAGGAGAACUCGUCGCGGUGCUGAGCGAAUUGCACCGCCUGGAAUUCUAGAGCGUUGACUCGGGUCCCCCCACUUGGAGUCGAUCACGGUGAAGUGCUUGUCGAGAUCGGCGAGGAUGGCACAAGUCUGGUGCUCCAGCGUCUGGGUAAGUUGGGCAUCAAUCGAUGAUGAAGACGCCAUGGAUGAGAGGGCCGAGGAACGUAGACCUCUGAUACCAAUUUGUUGGACACCAAAAUGAGCGGACGGUCUGGCCCUUGGGCCCGGACGGUCCACGUGUCCCGAGAUUAGAUUAACUCGGAUGUUUAUCCUUAUCUCGUGCGUGGUUAUCCAUCUAAUCACGUGGGAGUUUGUUGGCUAUCUCUUAGGAAAAGGUCCAGACCUCCUCCCCUAUAAAUAUAAAGGGGUACGGCCGAUUGAGAACCCCCGAACACAUUCCAAUCGAACCAAUUACCUUACUUACUUUUCCUGCCCUAGGAGUAGAUGUAGCAUAGUUCUAGUUGUAGCCUUCCGCAUAUCCACCUCCACCCCUAGUCGACUCUACGUCGUCUAGAUCCGUCUUGGGUGGCCUGCCGAUCCCAAGACGACCCUAGGAUCUCACCCCUCCCGGGGGGCAAGAUCUAGUUGUCCAUCCAAGACCUCUUCCUCGAUUUGAUCUCUUAAUUCCUAGGCGACUCCACGUCGUCUGGGGACGCCCCGGGUGACCUAUCGACCCAGAGCACCUUAAGAUCUUUUCCCCUCAGGGGACGAGAUCUAGAUUCCAGCAAGGAGGAGGAAGACGACCCUGUCGCCAGGUCGCGGACCGUCCGGCCCAGAGUUGCGGACCGUCCGGUGUGACACAGGGAAGACACCGCUCCUGCGCCUAGGUCGUGGACCGUCCGGCCCAAGGCCGCGGACCAUCCGCGCCGUCGCAGAGGGCACUACCAGGCGAUCUGGCGACCUGACGCAUGCCGCCACUACUGUUCACCUUGCGGAGCCGAACCCAAGGUAUUGCUCACCACGAGAAGGUCCUAGGGUUCGUUGCUAUUUGGUCCCAAAUAGGUGGUGACCAUCAUAGAGGUGUUGCCCCACAUUUAGGAUAACCACUUUAUUUGACCCUACAUCAUCUAAAGGUGCCAAGUACCGCCAAGCGGUUCAUUAUAGUGUUUGGUGACCAAAAAGGCACCAACGUACUUUUGGCGACUCCGCUGGGGACGAAAAAUCGGAUCUAUCAAAUCCGAUCCAUUAGAUCAGAUCUAUUAAAUUAGACCUAUCAGAUCGGUCGCAAUGGCUAAUCCCAAAGAUCACAACAAUGUCGUCCUAGACAUUAACACAAGGCUGACUAACUCGCCGGCCAAUGAGGAUGAGAAAUUAGAAGACCACAUGAAAAGGCUGGACGAGGAAUUGCAACGACAACAGGCUCAGAUAAGCAAGGUGGCGAAAAAGUGGUACCUCUCGCACUUCAAGGUAGAUCACCACCAGAAGGUCGUCAAGAAGAGGGAAGUAAAGUACGAUUCACUGUCAGCCUUCCUGCAUCAGCUCCCCAUUGUAAGUAACACCACGCCAUUAGCCGAUAUUCAAUCUGUUAAAAUUUCUUUUGAUAAUCAGAUUAAAAUUAUAAUGGAGGAUAUAGAGAAUAUGACACAUGCAUUGGAAAAUACGCAUACACCUGAUUUUUUGUCACAUAAAUUGGGCACUAAAAUAACUGCGUCAAAAACAUCGGCGACAAAUGAGGCUUCUCAGUCCCAACCAUAUUUUGGUAUGUCGAUGGACUCAUAUCCAGGACGACCGUCACCACCAUCUUCGCUAAAUGGUGAGCCAACUCUGAGCACGGCCGGACCGUCCGCACACAAUCGCGGACCGUCCGGCCCUCCGUCAAACCGUCUGGCACCCUACGCCGGACGGUCCGGAGUUACACAGAGUCCACCACAAGGGUCACAGGUGUUGCCUGACGUGACCGGACAGUCCGGGGAUAGUACCGGACCGUCCGGUCCACUCGCAGACCGUCCGACUGCGCAGGUCGGACCGUCCGGAGCAUCAGAAGUCACCUGUGAUCCGCCUAGUGCGGAAGGUCGACAUAAAUAUAACCAGUCACCCAAGCCCCAAGAACCAAAAAAGUCACAUGUCCCUGAGCUUAUUUGGCCCACUAAGGCCAAACCUUCUGUUCGCUUUCACCCGCACUCAACACAAAAGGAAAAAGUUAAGUUCACAUUUAAUAUUACUAAGUGUGAUAAAAUAUUUGAUGAGUUGCUUAAACAUGGUAAUAUUAAAUUGUCACAUGUAAUUCCUCCGGUUGUACAAUUAAAAGGGCGCGUUUAUUGCAAAUGGCAUGGCUCCUUUCUCCAUAACACCAAUGAUUGUGCUGUCUUCCGUCGGCAAAUACAAUCAGCUAUAAACGAAGGUCGGUUGAGGUUUCAAAAAGAGGUGAAAAUUGACAGGCCACCUGUUCCUGUCACCACAUUAGAGCUGACGAGCAAAAAGGCCAUAAUUCGGCCUUAUGCGGCCGAUAAAAGAAAAGAUAAAAAUAUCGUCAUUGGUGAUCCCUGCACACCAAAUAUGUCACGCAGAAUGGUUACUCGGAAGGCUCCGGACACAAGAAAGACUGGAGGCACCGGGGGGCAACCACGAUCGGACACCCGAUCACGGUCACCUGUCAUGUGUACGCCGAACGGUCUAGCUACUAAGGCCGAACAGUCCAAGACAGGAGCGGAUGGUCCGGCUAUAAUGGUCGGACGGUCCGCAGACAGUCAGAAGCAGCAACCUCAGACCAUCAGACCACAAUGUUCCAAAACAAGUGUUAGGAAACAAAAUACUACCGAGACGUCUGGAUGACUCAGUAGAGUCGACCCUACUUUUGGUCAGUUGCUUGCCAAAUAUAUGAAGAAGGUCGUUCCACACAACCGGCCAAUAAAACAGACGAAGUCAAAAGGACGAUCUGUGCGAAAGCAAAAGCCGACCAAACGGACCCAAAAAGUAGCACAACCAAGAUCGCCUUGUCAUCCUCCUCCGGGGAUAGCAUGGUGCGUCCCGUUCUAUCCAUUGCCGAUGUGUUGUCCUGCUCAUGUGUGGGGUGGUAUGGCGAUGAAUUCGUAUUACUGGCCCAAUCCGUUUGCUUAUUUGGGCUAGGGGCACCACAAGUUUUUGCCUAUUGACAGGUUGAUCAGGUAGACAUGGCCGAAGCGGAUGCGGUCCGAAACGGCAUCUGUGCAUUAAAGUUCCAUCAAGUAUUUAUAUUAUCUGAUCGCAAGAGCCGAUGACUUGCAUCGAGCUGAGUCCUUACUUCGGGAACAAAAGCUCAUGAGGUCAAUUGUUUCCGAAGUUUUUGCUAAUGCUUUUGGUUCGCCAAGCUCCACCAAAAGGCAAGGGGGCAUAUGUUGGACACCAAAAUGAGCGGACAGUCCGGCCCUUGGGCCCGGACGGUCCGCGUGUCCCGAGAUUAGAUUAACAUGGAUGUUUAUCCUUAUCUCGUGCAUGGUUAUCCAUCUAAUCCCGUGGGAGUUUGUUGGCUAUCUCUUAGGAAAUGGUCCAGACCUCCUCCCCUAUAAAUAUAAAGGGGUACGACCGAUUGAGAACCCCCGAACACAUUCCAAUCGAACCAAUUACCUUACUUACUUUUCCUGCCCUAGGAGUAGAUGUAGCAUAGUUCUAGUUGUAGCCUUCCGCAUAUCCACCUCCACCCCUAGUCGACUCUACGUCGUCUAGAUCCGUCUUGGGUGGCCUACCGAUCCCAAGACGACCCUAGGAUCUCACCCCUCCCGAGGGGCAAGAUCUAGUUGUCCAUCCAAGACCUCUUCCUCGAUUUGAUCUAUUAAUUCCUAGGCGACUCCACGUCGUCUGGGGACGCCCCGGGUGACCUGUCGACCCGGAGCACCUUAAGAUCUUUUCCCCCCAGGGGACGAGAUCUAGAUUCCAGCAAGGAGGAGGAAGAUGACCCUGUCACCAGGUCGCGGACCGUCCGGCCCAGAGCUGCGGACCGUCCGGUGUGACGCAGGGAAGACACCGCUCCUGCGCCCAGGUCGCGGACCGUCGGCGCCGUCGCAGAGGGCACUACCAGGCGAUCCGGCGACCUGACGCAGGCCGCCACUACUGUUCACCUUGCGGAGCCGAACCCAAGGUAUUGCUCACCACGAGAAGGUCCUAGGGUUCGUUGCUAUUUGGUCCCAAAUAGGUGGUGACCAUCAUAGAGGUGUUGCCCCACAUUUAGGAUAACCACUUUAUUUGACCCUACAUCAUCUAAAGGUGCCAAGUACCGCCAAGCGGUUCAUUAUAGUGUUUGGUGACCAAAAAGGCACCAACAUACUUUUUUAUGCCUGUAGCAACUCAAAUAACAACAAAAAAGGACAUCAUCAAAAUAGGCACUGCAUAUGUUGUCAUACAGGGAGACAAUAAAGGGCCGAUGAUUUUUGGUGAAUCGGCCAACACAACCAAAAAGGAUACGGUUACCAUCAAAACAGCCGAUCCAAAAUACUCCAUGCCUCGAUGGUGCCCAGCGGGAUUGACACGGUCCCAAAAGAGAAAAUUACAGCGCCUAAGAGUAAAGGAGAGCCAGGAGAAAGAGGCGGAAAAGAUAUUCAAUGACACACAUCCACUAUACCCAUGUUGAGCACCGUUUUGAGCCUGGCGGACGGUCCGGCCCUGAGGCCGGACGGUCCGCGGUCCGGACAGUCCGCGCCUGUGGGCCGGACGGUCCGCGCAUGCGCAGAACAGUUUAGGGUUCUGAGUUUUGUGCUAUGUUUGUUGGCUAGAUUUGCGGAAUUAGCUCGGAAUCCAGUCGUGUAAAGGGUCCAGCCCCCCUCCUCUAUAAAAAGAGAGGUCUACGACCGAUUUGUAUCAUCAAUCGAAUCAAUACAACUUCUAUUUCGCAUUUCAUCCUAGGAGUAGUUCUAGUCUAAUUUAGGUUUAGCCUCUCGAUCCCCAAAUUCUUCGCCUCUCCCCGACUCUACGUCGAUUAGAGGAGUCUAGGUCGGCCGGCCCGAGCCUAGACAACCCCUAGGAUCUCUCCUCCCCGACGGGGUCCCUCCCGGGAGCGAGAUCCAGGCGCCACCGGCGAUCUUCCGCCACCCCUGCGCACGCGCGGACCGUCCGACCCCAUGGCGCAGACCGUCCGACUGUCAGGUAGGAAACCCUAGCCCCUGCGCCAGGUCGCGGACCGUCCGGCCCCAGGUCGCAGACCGUCCGCGCCUGACCAGAGAGCACCGCCGCUGGUUCUUCUUGAGUAUUUGACGCUUCGAAAAAGCGUCAACAUACUUUUUGGUGACUCCGCUGGGGAAAACAUAUUUAGACCUAUCAAAUCGGCCCUCAAUGGCCGGUUCAAGGGAUAGCUCUGAUAUUUCCCCAAGCAACAUCAUAGAGCCGACUUGGGAUAUAUUGCCGGCUGACGAACAACUACAGUUCGAGGAGCACAAGGAGCAGAUGAUCCAGGAGGCAAAAGCGAGGUUCUUGGCCAACUUCAAAGUGGACAGGAACAACAAAGUCGUCCGACAUCGGGCGACAGAUCCGGCUUCACUGCGACCCACGCCAGACAUCCCCAAUGUAAGUAAUACAAACGAGCUGCAAUCUCUUAAGAAUUAUGUAGAUGAACAGUGUGAACAAAUGCAAAACAUCAUAGGGGAUAUGCAAAACGACUAUAGGAGAUUAGCGCGUGCAUUUGACAAAUCUAGCAUUGCAAAUUUUCCAUCACAUGAGGUAGAAUUAGGGGGUAACACGCGUAAUACAUCGGCUGUAGGUUGUCACGACCAGUCACAACCCCUUUAUGGGAUGCCGAUGGACACGUACCCUAAGCAACCGCAAAUCGGCAACAAAACAGCCGAUCUGCACAGGUCCGGACCGUCCGCACGUGAGCGCGGACCGUCCGGGCCAGCCACGACCGGGCCCAUUUUUAAUGAAGUACUCAGACAUGCACCCGAGCCACCACAUAUGACACAGAACCCAAACUACCCAGUCGGACGGUCCGCAUACAACGACGGACGGUCCGCAUAUAACCACGGACGGUCCGGGUACGUAUCCGGACAGUCCGCGCAUGAGUCCUUUGAGGAGGAUUAUUACCUGAAUCCUCGCCCGUCCCAGCAACACUUCCCAUCACACUAUGCAAUGCACCAGGCCAUUAAUUCAGGAUCCAGAGCCCAGGAAAGCUUUCCGGCCCCACCUAGAAGGCCGAAAAGAAACGAUCAAACCUAUGAGCCAUAUAGGGCAAAUGGAAAUGCACCACGUAGCUCAAACCAAUGGGGGGAACGACAACAUACUAAUAUGCAACCAACCCCACCUAUGUUUGACCAGAGAGCCGGUGGUCUUGCACCGGCUGCCAUUGAUAUAGUGAGGGAAGAAAUAGCCGGGGCGUUCCGAGAUAAGCUCGGAGUAAGCAUGAUCCCUAGGGGGCAAUCAUAUCGGAAACCUUAUGACAGCCGAUUUGAUCACCACCCGUACCAACAGGGAACUAGAAUACCCGAAUUCGCAAAAUUUUCGGGUGAUCAAGGGAAAAACACGCACGAACAUAUAGGCCAGUUCUUAGCACAAUUGGGAGAAUUAGCCGACACAGAGGCAUUUCGCGUGCGUUUAUUUUCAUUAUCGCUAACAGGAACCGUGUUUGCAUGGUAUGCCACUUUACCUCCUAAUUCCAUUUCAUCAUGGGGGGAUCUAGAACAAAAAUUUUAUGAUCAUUUUUUCUCCGGUGACUAUGAGUUAGAUUUAGUAGAUUUAGUGUCAUUGCGACAGACAAAAGAUGAAUCAGUUAAUGAUUACAUCCGGAGAUUUCGAGAUACAAGAAACCGAUGCUUUCAAAUUUAUCUAGCAGAAAAACAACUAGUAGGAUUAGCCUUUAAUGGUCUACGAUAUUAUUUAAAAGAAAGAUUAGAAGGCAUCCAAUUUUUUACACUAGCACAGUUACACCAGAAAGCUUUAGCUUGCGAAAGCCAGAGCAAAGAAACUGCUAAAACAAUGCGUCACAACGUACAUAUAGUAGAAUGCGACCAAAGUAGCUCAGAUGACGAAUCAGUAGAAGUGUACGCUGCUGAAAUGGUUUGGCCAAAACAGGCCAAAUCUUCGGCUUGUUCCUUCUUACAGCCGGUUCAAAAGAAACGACAAGAGGAGGUUAAGUUUACGUUUAAUGUUGGUAAGUGUGAUAAAAUAUUUGACGAAUUACUCAAAAAUGGCAAUAUUAAAAUAAAUCACACUGUUCCAUCCGCCGACGAGCUAAAAUGUCGUGCGUACUGCAAGUGGCAUAACUCAUUUUCUCAUGCCACUAAUGAUUGUAAUGUAUUUCGGCGACAGAUUCAAUCGGCCAUUAACGAAGGACGAUUGAAAUUUCAGGAAAUGCAGGUGGAUACAGAGCCCUUUCCGAUGAAUAUGAUUGACUUCGAGGGCAAGAAAGUCCUGGUUCGGCCAAAUACAGCCGAUAAAGGCAAAGGCAAGGAAACAAUCAUCGGCAAUGCUAAAAAGGCUGAUGGGGAUUGUAAAAUUUCUUGCAGGAAAGUGGUGGCCGAGAAGACUCCCGAUGGAGGGGAGACCCUGAAGGUGACCAUCACAGCCUCUAGCACUGGGGGGCAAGCACAGAUAGGGAAACAGUUGCGAGAACCCGUACUGCGCAUCACGGACAGUCCGCCAUCCAGGCGCAGACGUUCCGACACUUCUCCGGACGGUCCGGAGGACUCCAGCGGACGGUCCGGCCAUGCUCAGGACUCGCAGCGGCCACGUACCUUCAAACCACGACGACCAGAGAUAGGUACGUGGAAAACAAAUACAUUUAAAGCAGCUGGUCGGCUGAUCAAGCCUGGCCCGACUUUCGAUCAAUUGCUGUCUAAAUACGUUAAAAAGAAGGCCGGCCCCAGUGACCGGCCACCAAAGCGACCCCGCUCACCCAUUCAUGAGCAACGUCAGGUCAGGCCGAUUGGACCACCUCACCAAUCGGAAGAAAUAAAAGGUCCGAUUGUACAAUUGAGACCUAACAUGCCGACAUGGACACCUCCACCCCCUUAUCCAUCUAUGCCAUAUCCAUACACAUACUUACCUCCAUCAUAUGUUCCAAAUCAAAUGUGGGACAUGCCACCAUAUCCAUUUGGCAUGCCACAGUACCCCGCCUGGGGGGCACCCCAAACAUCCGUUUUUGACAGGUUGGCGCCGCCAGUACAAGACCGAUUGAGCGCUGCUGAAUCCGGUCACCAGGCACAAGCCCAACAAGAUUGCCAGACUACUCGGCCUCCUAGGCCGACCAAUCCGGCAGGGGGGCAUAUGCCUGUAGCAACUCAAAUAACAACAAAAAAGGACAUCAUCAAAAUAGGCACUGCAUAUGUUGUCAUACAGGGAGACAAUAAAGGGCCGAUGAUUUUUGGUGAAUCGGCCAACACAACCAAAAAGGAUACGGUUACCAUCAAAACAGCCGAUCCAAAAUACUCCAUGUCUCGAUGGUGCCCAGCGGGAUUGACACGGUCCCAAAAGAGAAAAUUACAGCGCCUAAGAGUAAAGGAGAGCCAGGAGAAAGAGGCAGAAAAGAUAUUCAAUGACACACAUCCACUAUACCCGUGUUGAGCACCAUUUUGAGCCUGGCGGACGGUCCGGCCCUGAGGCCGGACGGUCCGCGGUCCGGACAGUCCGCGCCUGUGGGCCGGACGGUCCGCGCAUGCGCAGAACAGUUUAGGGUUCCAAGUUUUGUGCUAUGUUUGUUGGCUAGAUUUGCGGAAUUAGCUCGGAAUCCAGUCGUGUAAAGGGUCCAGCCCCCCUCCUCUAUAAAAAGAGAGGUCUACGGCCGAUUUGUAUCAUCAAUCGAAUCAAUACAACUUCUAUUUCGCAUUUUAUCCUAGGAGUAGUUCUAGUCUAGUUUAGGUUUAGCCUCUCGAUCCCCAAAUUCUCCGCCUCUCCUCGACUCUACGUCGAUUAGAGGAGUCUAGGUCGGCCGGCCCGAGCCUAGACAACCCCUAGGAUCUCUCCUCCCCGACGGGGUCCCUCCCGGGAGCGAGAUCCGGGCGCCGCCGGCGAUCUUCCGCCGCCCCUAUGCACGCGCGGACCGUCCGGCCCCAGGGCGCGGACCGUCCGGCCGUCAGGCAGGAAACCCUAGCCCCUUGCGCCAGGUCACGGACCGUCCGGCCCUAGGCCGCGGACCGUCCGCGCCUGACUAGAGAGCACCGCCGUCGGUUCUUCUUGAGUAUUUGACGCUCCGAAAAAGCGUCAACACAAUUGUUAGCAGAGGAGAGGUUGGGUGAGGAAGAAGAUAUGUGGGAGAGGAGGAAGACAGGGAACGGGGAAUUCUUCAGAAGUUCUGAAUAUUGUUCAUUACAAGCGUAACUCUACUCCAUGACUAGAAAACUUAUUUAUGUGCCUACACACGAACCGGGUCCACUAUACACACAAACCCCAAGACCCCACAUGACAGCCAACAAUACGCUCAUGCCCACUCAGGUGCACAGAUAGCACGGCGCUUCCGAGCACCAUGGAUUGCCUCCUGUGCUUGGUCUGGCAACGUAGCACUCACAUCCUCACAUGUGCGCGACGCAACGGGGAGGUAGCGAGCUGGAGCUCCUGCUGGCUGUGCACGUGAGAGGGAGGGGGAAGUGGCGUGUAGGUGGAAGAAGCCGGAAGAGAGGUUCGGCUUUUAAAGGGCACCAUCGCGGGUCGCGGCUGCUACUGAUCAAGAGGGGCGGCGUCGACCAUUGGUGCAGGGCUGCGGCACCUGCCGGUUGGCUAUGGCCGCUGGCCAAGCUCCCACGCGGUUGGCUGCUCUACGCCCUGACAGGAGCUUGCAUGCAGCGAGGAGCCGAGGAGGUCUGCGUGCGUGAGCAGGUGAGCGUGGGGUUCUUUUCUUUUUUUUGUUUUGUUUUUCUUUUUAUUUAUUUAUUUUUGCAACACUACCCACGAGGGAAAAUAAUAAAUAAUAGUCUAGAUCAAAAGCUAUCCCAGUUAUUAAUUUUUGUCGACUUUCAUGUUAAACAGCUUGUAACCACGAGAUUUGGAUCGAUGUUGCCGAGAAUUUAUCACGUCCUAUUUUGAAAAUAGUUUGACUCAAAAUUUGACCGUGUUUUUGAAUUAGACACCGAUAGUUCAGAUUAAAAUUAAAUUACACGAGUUGUUCCAUCAAAAUUUAUUGUCGCCCGUGCCAAAAAAAUAAUAAUUGCGCUCUGUUACAGGUUUACGCUCGUGACCCGAGUUAUAAAAAUUCGAGGGCUUUCUAAUUGUAGCGUGGUGUUAGAUUUUCGAGUUCGUUUCGAAUUUGGAUCGGAUGCAGCGAUAGUAAGUCACGUAGAAUAAAAGUUAAAUAGAUGCCAGCACACUGAGUAUUCCAUUCUGAGAGUACGGACUUGGAUUAAUUUUUAGACAUAGAUCGAAUAUCGAGAAAUGGGAUUCAGACACAAAUUGGAUAGAGAUCAAACACAUGAUGAAUACCGAGUAAUAGGAUGUAAACACAAAUGGGAUCUCCGCCUUCGAAGAAUCGAAGUCGAAUACGAAAGGAUAACUUGCCGAUAAGUUCGAUAAAUUUGUUCGGGCAAGAAUUGUAAGACUAGAUUGACUUUCUGAAUUGCAUUCGUUUCAAGAAAUAAAAGUUUUAAUAGGCCCCAAAUUUGGCCUUUCUCGAGAUUGAAUAACUCCGAAUUUGGUGAAACUUUAUGAAUAGUUUUGAUAAAUAGAGAUAGACGCGAUCAAGAAAUAAAAAAAAUCUAGUGAGGAUCUGAGCUAAAGUCCAAUCUCACAGCAUUACACGAAAUAAACACCCGGGGUGUCACACGAAGUUAGUCCGUAGAGGACUCAUCAACAUUCUCUUGAAAUCUUCGCGAUGCUCAGAGUCUACUUCUGCGUAGAACCACUCUUUUGUCCAAUCACUAUGCCACUUUUGUAACGGGACCAUCCAAUCUAUAAAAGCACAAAUAUCAAAAACAUCUGCUUGCAUAGUUGUUUAAACAUACUUGAGCCUAUAUAGACCCGGUAGACCGUCGAGUAUCCCAAAGGACCUCGGUAAAUCAACUCACAACCAAGAUCGCGGAUUAAGUAAAUACACAUUCACAUACUGGAGUUUUGCAGCGGAAAUAAUAUUACAAUAAGUUUACAAAUAAGGAGAUGAGUGUAAGUACAAAAUUUGAUUUGAAAGAAAUACAACUUCAACAAUAAAGAUAUAACCAUAGCUUUCAAAUACAUUGCUAGCUCAAUGACAAUCCUCCAGAAAAAGCAGAGAUGAGAAAACUAUAUAGAAGGCCGAGCCGCCGGCACUUAUCCACCAUCAUUAGCAGACCUAGAUCUUAAUUUGCAACAUGGUGGGAUAAACCCUGAGUACUCGAAUGUACUCAGCUAGACUUACCCGUCCAAAACCAGAAAAUAAGAAAGUAAAAGACACCAAGGAUCAUGCAAGGCUUUAUUUGGAGUUGGCUCUUUCUUUUAGAAGAGUGCAUGAAUUAAUGUAGUUAUUAGCAUCUUAAGGACAUCAUGAUAAUUAGUCAUAUUUUAGCAGUUCGCAAAUCUAGGUUGGCACCUGAUUAGCUAGAUGACAUUUGCUAAUUCACUAUGUCUAGUUAUAGAUUUAGUGAUUAACAAGUUUGGCAAGUAUCUCAUUAAGUAGACAAGCAAGAGUAACCCAAACCUUGGUUAUAAUUAUUCAUGUCAUCAUUAUUAAUUAAUAUCAUCAUCCUCAGGAUUACCAUUGUUUAGUUCUUACUACAAUGAGAUAGCUCAAGUCAAGUGCUCACUAUCCAGGAACGAUGGUAAUUUCAAAUCUAUUACUAACCACCUUGCGGGGUAUUCCUAACACAAAUCACACCCACAUUACUUCACAUGAUACAGUUACCACUAUACUAUUCUAGUAGCAGCCCGGCUACACGUCGCGGAUUCAACAGGAGCCACCAUACCCAAGGACCUCCCGACUACCAGAGGGUCAGGGCAUACCAUGGGUCAUCUCGCCGUGUCCCUGUCACUCCUCAACCACACCAGUAAGUGCACCGCAAGGUCGAAUCCGGCCGGAAUAGUACUCUGGCUUCAUGGUCGGAACGAGUUAUCCGGCCAACUAAGUGAUUAGGCAUGCGUUCAACCUGACUCGAGGGAGCACAACGGUACGGUCCUUAAUCGACACAGACGGGGAUAAGUAGACAACCAAGACCUCCAUGCCUUGUGUUUCCUUAUCUCCAUGUCACCCGGUCUCAUAUUAACCUUUAUAUUAUCCAUUGAUAUUUUCCGAUGACAUUACCCAAAUAAAGCAUAAGGUAAGCACAAGUACCUUGCAGGUGGCAGGAAAUCACCUGACUUCUAACGUCUAAGCAGGACUAAGCAUUUAAGCAUACUUAAAUUACCGAGGUGACAAGAAUAGGUGUAAACAAGGGUAAUCAAGGAUAAAUGCAGCAAUUGUAUCCAAACAACUGCUACAACCAAAUGCAAUAAUCAUAGGCAGGUUGGUGAAUAAGACAAUUAUUGCAAACCAUGGGAAUUAGAUGUCGGGGCUUGCCUAGAAUCCAACACUAGGUUAGUGUUUUUGGUUAGACGGCAUCCGCUUGACGAAAGUCAACUUGAUAAGUUCAUCGUAUUCAGGUUUGCCUCCUACACCACGUCCUUCAUGUCCAUGUGUUCCACAUCUAGCGUACCUGAACGAAGUGCAUGAUGCAUAUGUAUGAGCAUAAAGAAAUGCAACACAACACAUAUCAUGCUACAUGAUAGUGAAGCAAGCACCAAUUAGCAAGGCACUGCAAACACUCAUACACAAGCACUAGUUAUCCAUACAUCAUCGGCACAUGAAUCUAACACCACUGAAGACAUGGAAUACUCGACCCUAAACUUAAUUUGCACGCAAGCAUAACAUGGGAAAUGGCAAGCACGUCAAUCAAGGGACAUAUGUUAACUUGAGUAUAACGACUACAAGUCUUCAUCAAUCAAGGACUAACCAAACCUACUUAGCCAAACAAAAAUAAGUCCAAGCAACGAACUAAACCCACACAAAUUUUUGGACAGCAACACAGCCUGUGCUUAUUUUAGCCAUAACUAGAGAUUUAGAAAUCCAAAACUGGUGAUCCAAGACAUUCUGGAAAGAUAAUAAAAUUGUCUACAAAACAUUUAUAACCAUCUUAGGGUGAUUCAAUACUUAUCAAAGUCAAUCAACACAAAGAAGGUGCAUCUGACCAGAUUUAAACAGAUUCAGACCUUAUACUUCAAACAUCUAUAACUAAAGAUUUAGACCACCAAAAAGGAUGAUCUAUAACUUUUUGGAAAUAUUAAGAAGAGUUCUACAACUUCUUUAUAAUUACUAAGAGCUGUAGCUCAGUUUAAUUUGGCAAACAAUGCAAUCUCCUAAAUCCGAACAUAUUAUGGACAUAUUCUGAUAUUGGACUUGUGAGAAACAUAACUUCCAAACUAUUAGACCUAUGGCUAUGAAAUUUUAACACCAGCAAGAUAAAGAAGUUAUCUACAACUUUUGUAUAGAACAAGUCUACAGAAAAUAUAGUUUAGUUCACCAAACUAAUUGCACGGCAAAAACUGUACCAGCAGCCCAAACAACAGUAUUCUAAUUUAGCUCCUAUUUAGUUUCUAUAGUUAUCAUGUUCUUGAUACGUAGAAUACUAUAAUACUUAUUCAUUUAUUAGAUCUAAAACCAACUAGUAAGCACCAACGUGCCAACUCACUAAUUACAUUUUCAAAUCAAUUGGAGCACCGGAGUUACAAACAUACAAGUAACAAGCACAUUCACCACUCUUUCCUAUCUAACACGACAUAGCUCAUGAAUUAAGAAAACACUAAACACGUUGUCAGUUUAUAUUUUUCCUAGUUAGGGAAUGACACCAAAAGGUUAACAAAGCUUAGGCUCACAUUUUAGGACUCCUCAAACUUAGACUAUGGAUAACAAUAAUUUAACUAGCUCUCUAGGUUCUUUUUUUAUAUGAGCUUGUAUACCACACCAACUAAAUAGACAUCACAUCUUUCUAUGAUUUAAAACAUAGAGCAUUAGCACAUAUCAUAGAACUCCACAAGGCUACAACUUGAACACCUACGGACUUAAAGCACUCACACACAUAUUUCCUCGGAUUGUUCUCCGAUUUCAACAGAAAUCGACUUACGAAUGCUACUUGCUUUCAAAUGAUUUUGGGCAGCGAUAAACAUUCCUAUCACAUUUCAUUGCUCCAAAAAUAUAGCAGGUAAUUACCACUAAUGCAAUACACCACUUCACCAUAUAUAAGCAAAAUCAACACUAAUCACACUGACAUCAUUUAUCGGCUAGAUAUUGGAACACUAAACUUGCCUUUCGCAUUCACCACCACAAUCAAAUAUCGCAUGCACAUCUAUCGACACAUUCUUCGCUUGACUCAUUGAGAGCACCUAGAGGGGGGGGGGGUGAAUAGGUGAUCCUGUAAAACUUGAAACUUAAUGCCACAAAACUUGGUUAGGAGUUAGCGCAAUAAAGCCAAGUGGCUAGAGAGGAGUCUUAGCAAAACACAAUAACCACAAGAAGAUCAACACAUGUAUACACAGUGGUUUAUCCCGUGGUUCGGCCAAGUACAAAACUUGCCUACUUCCACGUUGUGGCGUCCCAACGGACGAGGGUUGCAAUCAACCCCUCUCAAGCGGUCCAAAGACCCACUUGAAUACCACGGUGUUUUGCUUAGCUUUACUUUAUCCCGUUCGCGAGGAAUCUCCAUAACUUGGAGCCUCUCGCCCUUACACUUUUGAUGUUCACAAAAAAGCACGGAGUAAGGGAGGGAUGAGCAACGCACUCAAGACACAAAAUCCAAGUGACAAUACGCACACAAGUCGCAACAAGAGCUCGCAACACAACCCGACGAGUUCACAACUCAAAUGGAGCUCUAAUUGCUAUCACAAAGAAUCAAAUGCGCGGAAUCGAGGUCUUGGUGCUUAGGAAUGCUUUGAGUAUACUUGAUAUGCUCCUCCAUGCGCCUAGGGGUCCCUUUUAUAGCCCCAAGGCAGCUAGGAGCCGUUGAGAGCAUUCCAGGAAGGCAGAUCUUGCCUUCUGUCGCCUGGCGCACCGGACAGUCCGGUGCACCACCGGACACUGUCCGGUGCGGAUUUGUUUCCUUAUUUGGCGAAGCCGACCGUUGCAGAUGUAGAGCCGUUGGCGCACCGAACACUGUCCGGUGCACACCGGACAGUCCGGUGCUCCAAUGUGACCAUUGGCUCGGCCACGCGUCACGCGCGGAAUCCUCGGCCGACCGUUGCCCUGGCUGAUCGUUGGCUCACCGGACAGUCCGGUGCCUCACCGGACAGUCCGGUGAAUUAUAGCCGUACGCCGUUGAUGGCUUCCCGAGGCCGACGACUUCGCCUGUGAACGGCUCACUGGACAGUCCGGUGCACCACCGGACAGUCCGGUGAUUUAUAGCCGUACACCGCCGUCGAAGUCUCGAGAGCAGCAAGUUCGCCAGAGCCAGCCUGGCGCACCGGACACUGUCCGGUGCACCACUGGACAGUCCGGUGCACCCAGACUGCGCAGACUUUGGCUGAACAAAGCCAUCUCUUUUCUAAUUCGAUUUCUCCUGUUUCUAGCACUUAGACACAAUACAUUAGUCCAUAAAACAAUGUACUAAGUCUAGAAACAUACCUUUUGACUUGAUUUGCACUUUGUCCACCACUUUGCAUAGAUUAACACAAAAGCGCUUGUGUUGGCACUCAAUCACCAAAAUACUUAGAAAUGGCCCAAGGGCACAUUUCCCUUUCAAUCUCCCCCUUUUUGGUGAUUUAUGCCAACACAACAUAAAGCAACUAGAAUAAGUGCAAUAUCAAUGCAAAUGAAAACUCAAAAUUGUUUUGAUUCAAAUUUGGCAUAUAUGGAUCACUCUUUGCCACCACUUGGUUUGUUUUUGCAAAUCAAACUCAAUUUCCUAUCUCUAAGUCAAAUUCACUUGUAGAGACAUAAAGAGAGGUGUUCCAAUAGAAAUUGAUCACAAUAUAAAAAACUCCCCCUAUUUCCCAUAAUCAACCAUUCUCCCCACAAGAGACCAACUUUUGACAAAAAGAGCCAAUAAGAGUAUUUUGACAAAACAAAAGCUCUAUUCUAUUAUUUUCAAAAUUCUCAAGUGGUAGCUGAUCCAUUUAUUGCUUUUGGCCUUAUUUUCUCCCCCUUUGGCAUCAAGCACCAAAACGAGAUCAAUUUUGGCCCUCUAACCCCAUUGCCUCACCAAAAUCUUCAAAUAAGAAUACAAAGGCAAUAGGAGUACAUGAGAUGAACUUGGAAUAAGUUACCCUCUCAUCGGAGUGCAGUGGAAGUCUUUCAUGGUCCAAGUCCAACUUUUCCCUUUCAAUCUACCUUUGAGACUAAAUCAAGCAAACUCAAGCACUCGGUUAGUCUCAAAGGGUCAAGUUGUAGCACAACUCCCCCUAAAUAUGUGCAUCACUUGCAAAAGGACUUGUGAGGUCCGGGGAGUGUUUGUACAACUUGAGCACCACAAGUAAACAACAAAAUGCAUAAGGAACAUGAUCAAAGGCAUAAACACAUGUAUGCUAUAAAUCAAUCCAAGUUCUGCGAAUCUAAGAUAUUUAGCCCACUACGCAGCCUGCAAAAGGUCUUCUCAUCUAAAGGCUUGGUAAAGAUAUCGGCUAGCUGGUUCUCGGUGCUAACAUAAAACACUUCGAUAUCUCCCUUUUGCUGGUGGUCUCUUAAAAAGUGAUGCUGGAUGUCAAUGUGCUUUGUGCUGCUGUGCUCAACAGGAUUUUCCGCUAUUCGGAUAGCACUCUCAUUGUCACAUAGGAGUGGGACUUUGCUCAGAUUGUAGCUAAAGUCCCGGAGGGUUUGCCUCAUCCAAAGUAGUUGCACGCAACACUGUCCUGCGGCAACGUACUUGGCCUCAGCGGUGGAUAGGGCAACUGAAGUUUGUUUCUUAGAGUUCCAUGACACCAGGGACCUUCCUAAGAAUUGGCACGUCCCCGAUGUACUCUUCCUAUCGACCUUACAUCCAGCAUAGUCGGAGUCUGAAUAUCCAAUCAAGUCAAAGUUAGACCCCUUUGGAUACCAGAUCCUGAAGCAAGGCGUAGCUACUAAAUAUCUAAGGAUUCGCUUCACAGCCACAAGGUGACACUCCCUUGGAUCAGAUUGAAAUCUAGCACACAUGCAUACGCUAAGCAUAAUAUCCGGUCUACUAGCACAUAAGUAAAGCAAAGAACCUAUCAUGGACCGGUAUGCUUUUUGAUCAACAGACUUACCUCCUUUGUUGAGGUCGGUGUGUCCGUCAGUUCCCAUCGGCGUCUUUGCGGGCUUGGCGUCCUUCAUCCCAAACUGCUUUAGCAAGUCUUGCGUGUACUUCGUUUGGGAGAUGAAGGUGCCAUCCUUGAGUUUCUUCACUUGGAACCCAAGGAAGUAGUUCAACUCGCCCAUCAUCGACAUCUCGAAUUUCUGCGUCAUCACCCUGCUAAACUCUUCACAAGACUUUUGAUUAGUAGAACCAAAUAUUAUGUCAUCGACAUAAAUUUGGCACACAAAAAGAUCACCAUCGGAAGUCUUAGUGAAAAGAGUUGGAUCGGCUUUCCCAACCUUGAAAGCAUUAGCAAUUAAAAAGUCUCUAAGGCAUUCAUACCAUGCUCUUGGGGCUUGCUUAAGUCCAUAGAGCGUCUUAGAGAGCUUACACACGUGGUCGGGGUACCGUUCAUCCUCGAAGCCAGGGGGUUGCUCCACGUACACCUCCUCCUUGAUCGGCCCGUUGAUGAAAGCGCUCUUCACAUCCAUUUGGAACAACCUGAAAGAAUGGUGAGCGGCAUAUGCUAGCAAAAUACGAAUUGAUUCUAUCCUAGCCACAGGAGCGAAAGUCUCCUCAAAGUCCAAACCUGCGACUUGGGCAUAACCUUUUGCCACAAGUCGAGCCUUGUUCCUCGUCACCACCCCGUGCUCGUCCUGUUUGUUGCGGAACACCCACUUGGUUCCCACAACAUUUUGCUUGGGACGAGGCAUCAGUGUCCAAACUUCAUUACGCUUGAAGUUGUUGAGCUCCUGCUGCAUGGCCAACACCCAGUCCGGAUCUAGCAAGGCCUCUUCUACCCUGAAAGGCUCAAUAGAAGAGACAAAUGAGUAAUGCUCACAAAAAUUAACUAAUCUAGAACGAGUAGUUACUCCCUUGCUAAUGUCACCCAAUAUUUGGUCGACGGGAUGAUUCCUUUGAAUCGUCGCUCGAACUUGGGUUGGAGGUGCCGGUUGUGCUUCUUCCUCCAUCACAUGAUCAUCUUGUGCUCCCCCUUGAUCACACGCCUCUUCUUGAUGAACCUGUUCAUCGUCUUGAGUUAGGGGAUGCACCAUUGUUGAGGAAGACGGUUGAUCUUGCUCCAAUUGUUCCUGUGGUCGCACAUCGCCAAUUGCCAUGGUGCGCAUUGCGGCCGUUGGAACGUCUUCUUCAUCUACAUCAUCAAGAUCAACAACUUGCUCUCUUGGAGAGCCAUUAGUCUCAUCAAAUACAACGUCGCUAGAGACUUCAACCAAACCCGAUGAUUUGUUGAAGACCCUAUACGCCUUUGUAUUUGAGUCAUAACCUAAUAAAAACCCUUCUACAACUUUGGGAGCAAAUUUAGAAGUUCUACCUUUCUUCACAAGAAUAUAACACUUGCUCCCAAAUACACGAAAGUAAGACACAUUGGGUUUGUUACCGGUUAGAAGCUCAUACGAAGUCUUCUUGAGGAGGCGGUGAAGGUAGACCCGGUUGAUGGCGUGGCAAGCCGUGUUCACAGCUUCCGACCAAAAGCGCUCGGGGGUCUUGAACUCUCCAAGCAUCGUCCUCGCCAUGUCUAUGAGCGUCCUGUUCUUCCUCUCUACCACACCAUUUUGCUGUGGUGUGUAGGGAGCGAAGAACUCGUGCUUGAUUCCCUCCUCCUCAAGGAACUCCUCCACUUGAAGGUUCUUGAACUCGGACCCGUUGUCGCUCCUUAUCUUCUUCACCUUGAGCUCAAACUCAUUUUGAGCUCUCCUGAGGAAGCGCUUGAGGGUCCCUUGGGUUUCAGUUUUAUCCUGCAAAAAGAAUACCCAAGUGAAGCGGGAAAAAUCAUCAACAAUAACAAGACCAUACUUACUUCCUCCUAUGCUUAGAUAGGCGACGGGUCCGAAGAGGUCCAUAUGAAGCAUCUCCAAAGGUCUUGAUGUGGUCAUCACAUUUUUGGUGUGAUGAGAGCUUCCCACCUGUUUGCCUGCUUGACAAGCUAACCCUUUCACCUUGCCUUGGUUCCUAUCACCGAAUAUUAUUGAAUCUUGGGGAUCCUUGUUCUUGACGUAGGAAGAGAACAUCCUCUUCUCCCCUGUCAUGUGGUUUGUGCAUCCGCUGUCGAUAAUCCAGCUUGAGCCCCCGGAUGCAUAAACCUGCAAGGCAAAUUUAGGCUUGGGUCUUAGGUACCCAACUCUUGUUGGGUCCUACAAGGUUAGUUACAAUAGUCUUAGGGACCCAAAUGCAAGUUUUGUCUCCCUUACAUUUGGCUCCUUACUUCCUAGCAAUUAUCUUCUUAUCCUUUCUACAAAUAGCAAAGGAAGCAUUGCAAGCAUGAUAAAUUGUAGAAGGUUCAUUAAUUUUCCUAGGAACAUUAACAACAUUUCUCCUAGGCAUAUGAUGAACAACAUUUCUCCUAGACACAUCUCUACCAUGCAUAUAGGAAGAACUAGAAGCAAACAUGGCAUGAGAAUCAAAAGCAUCAUAACUUCUAUAGGCAUUCCUAGAAUGUCUCCUAUCAUGAUAUAUGAAGGCAUAGUUCUUUUUAGCACUACUAGCCAUAGGGGCCUUCCCUUUCUCCUUGGCGGAGAUGGGAGCCUUAUGGCUCGUUAAGUUCUUGGCUUCCCUCUUGAAGCCAAGUCCAUGCUUAACUGAGGGGUGUCUACCAAUCGUGUAGGCACCCCUUGCAAAUUUUAGCUUAUCAAAUUCACUUUUGCUAGUCUUAAGUUGGGCAUUAAGACUAGCCACUUCAUUAUUCAACUUAGAAAUUGAAGCAAGGUGUUCGCUACAAGCAUCAAUAUUAAAAUCUUUACACCUAUUGCAAAUUACAACAUUUUCUACACAAGAUGUUGAUUUACUAGCUAUUUCUAACUUAGCAUUCAAAUCAUCAUUUAUUCUCUUUAAGCUAGAAAUAGAGUCAUGACAUGUAGACAAUUCACUAGAAAGCAUUUCAUUCCUUUUAAUUUCUAAAGCAAGGGAUUUUUGAGCAUUUACAAACUUAUCAUGUUCUUCGUACAAAAGAUCCUCUUGCUUUUCUAAUAACCUAUUCUUAUCAUUUAAAGCAUCAAUCAAUUCAUUAAUCUUAUCUAUUUUAGUUCUAUCCAAUCCCUUGAACAAACUAGAGUAAUCUAUUUCAUCAUCACUGGACUCAUCAUCACUAGAAGAAGCAUAAGUGGCAUUGUUUCGAGUACAUACCUUCUUCUCCUUUGCCAUGAGGCAUGUGUGAUGCUCGUUGGGGAAGAGGGAUGACUUGUUGAAGGCGGUGGCGGCGAGUCCUUCAUUGUCGGAGUCGGAAGAGGAGCAAUCCGAAUCCCACUCCUUUCCAAGAUGUGCCUCGCCCUUGGCCUUCUUGUAAUUCUUCUUCUUUUCCCUUUUGUGCCCUUUUUCCUGGUCACUAUCAUUAUCGGAACAGUUAGCAAUAAAAUGACCAAUCUUACCACAUUUGAAGCAUGAGCGCUUCCCUUUUGUCUUGGUCUUGCUUGGCUGUCCCUUGCGACCCUUUAGCGCCGUCUUGAAGCGCUUGAUGAUGAGGGCCAUCUCUUCAUCAUUGAGCCCUGCCGCCUCAACUUGCGCCACCUUGCUAGGUAGCGCCUCCUUGCUCCUUGUUGCCUUGAGAGCAACAGGUUGAGGCUCAUUGAUUGGACCAUUCAACGCGUCGUCCACGUAUCUCGCCUCCUUGAUCAUCAUUUGCCCGCUUACGAACUUUCCAAGAACUUCUUCGGGCGACAUCUUGGUGUACCUAGGAUUCUCACGAAUAUUGUUCACCAGAUGUGGAUCAAGUACAGUAAAGGACCUUAGCAUUAGGCGAACGACGUCGUGGUCCGUCCAUCGCGUGCUUCCGUAGCUCCUUAUUUUGUUGACAAGGGUCUUGAGCCGGUUGUACGUUUGGGUUGGCUCCUCGCCCCUUAUCAUCGCGAAUCUCCCGAGUUCGCCUUCCACCAACUCCAUUUUGGUGAGCAUGGUGACGUCGUUCCCCUCAUGUGAGAUCCUGAGGGUGUCCCAGAUCUGCUUGGCAUUGUCCAAGCCGCUCACCUUAUUGUACUCUUCCCCGCACAAAGAUGCUAAGAGGACAGUAGUAGCUUGUGCAUUUUUAUGAAUUUGUUCAUUUAUAAACAUGGGACUAUCCGAGCUGUCAAAUUUCAUUCCACUCUCUACAAUCUCCCAUAUGCUUGGAUGGAGAGAGAACAAGUGACUACGCAUUUUGUGACUCCAAAAUCCGUAGUCCUCCCCAUCAAAGUGUGGAGGUUUGCCAAGAGGAAUGGAAAGCAAAUGUGUAUUUGAGCUAUGUGGAAUACGUGAAUAAUCGAAAGAGAAGUUUGAGUUAACCAUCUUUCUUUUGUCGUAGUCGUUGUCGUUGUCGUCGUUGUCCUUUUGGGAAGAAGUGGACUCAUCGCUGUCGUCGUAGUAGACGAUCUCCUUGAUGCGUCUUGUCUUCUUUUUCUUCCCAUCUUUGCGUUUGUGGCCCGAGCCCGAGUCGGUAGGCUUGUCAUCCUUCGGCUCGUUGACGAAGGACUCCUUCUCCUUAUCGUUGAUCACAAUUCCCUUCCCCUUAGGAUCCAUCUCUUCGGGCGAUUAGUCCCUUCAUGAAGAGAAUGGCUUUGAUACCAAUUGAGAGCACCUAGAGGGGGGGCGUGAAAAGGUGAUCCUGUAAAACUUGAAACUUAAUGCCACAAAACUUGGUUAGGAGUUAGCGCAAUAAAGCCAAGUGGCUAGAGAGGAGUCUUAGCAAAACACAAUAACCACAAGAAGAUCAACACAGGUAGACACAGUGGUUUAUCCCGUGGUUCGGCCAAGUACAAAACUUGCCUACUUCCACGUUGUGGCGUCCCAACGGACGAGGGUUACAAUCAACCCCUCUCAAGCGGUCUAAAGACCCACUUGAAUACCAUGGUGUUUUGCUUAGCUUUACUUUAUCCCGUUCGCGAGGAAUCUCCACAACUUGGAGCCUCUCGCCCUUACACUUUUGAUGUUCACAAAGAAGCACAGAGUAAGGGAGGGAUGAGCAACGCACUCAAGACACAAAAUCCAAGUGACAAUACACACACAAGUCGCAACAAGAGCUCGCAACACAACUCGACGAGUUCACAACUCAAAUGGAGCUCUAAUUGCUAUCACAAAGAAUCAAAUGCGCGGAAUCGAGGUCUUGGUGCUCAGGAAUGCUUUGAGUAUACUUGAUGUGCUCCUCCAUGCGCCUAGGGGUCCCUUUUAUAGCCCCAAGGCAGCUAGGAGCCGUUGAGAGCAUUCCAGGAAGGCAGAUCUUGCCUUCUGUCGCCUGGCGCACCGGACAGUCCGGUGCACCACCGGACACUGUCCGGUGCGGAUUUGUUUCCUUAUUUGGCGAAGCCGACCGUUGCAGAUGUAGAGCCGUUGGUGCACCGGACACUGUCCGGUGCACACCGGAUAGUCUGGUGCUCCAAUGUGACCGUUGGCUCAGCCACGCGUCACGCGCAGAAUCCUCGGCCAACCGUUGCCCCGGCUGACCGUUGGCUCACCGGACAGUCCGGUGCCUCACCGAACAGUCCGGUGAAUUAUAGCCGUACGCCGUUGAUGGCUUCCCGAGGCCGAUGACUUCGCCUAUGAACGGCUCACCGGACAGUCCGGUGAUUUAUAGCCAUACACCGUCGUCGAAGUCCCGAGAGCAGCAAGUUCGCCAGAGCCAGCCUGGCGCACCGGACACUGUCCGGUGCACCACCGGACAGUCCGGUGCACCACCGGACAGUCCGGUGCACCCAGACUGCGCAGACUUGGCUGAACAAAGCCAUCUCUUUUCCAAUUCGAUUUCUCCUGUUUCUAGCACUUAGACACAAUACAUUAGUCCAUAAAACAAUGUACUAAGUCUAGAAACAUAACUUUUGACUUGAUUUGCACUUUGUCCACCACUUUGCAUAGAUUAACACAAAAGCGCUUGUGUUGGCACUCAAUCACCAAAAUACUUAGAAAUGGCCCAAGGGCACAUUUCCCUUUCAAUCCCAAGGGCACAUUUCCCUUUCACUCAUUACAUCUCACAACAAAAAGCAACUAAGAACAAGUGACACCGAUGGAUUCUACUAAACUCAUUAUUCACAUAUUCCAUCCGACCACACAUAUACACAACAUCAACAAAAAUCACAUGGAGAGUAAACCAUAACUACAAAUUGAACAACCUGAACGACCUGAACUCGAAUGGUGCAUGUCUUCCACUCGAUUUGGGCUUUUCGUCGAACAUGUGGUGCACGUGGCGCGAUGUCGAUGACUAGCUUCGAGCAACUAUGACACACUGGUUUAUACAUUUAAUCGAGCAAAUAGAGCGCGAGAGCAGCGAGGAUAGCAAGGAGCUCAUCACCAGGGUUUGAUGACAUCGCAACUGGGGUUGUGCAGAUCAACGACAUGGUGCUUGAUCUGGCAAGCACGCCGCAGGGCUUGGCACAACACAACGGGGAAGGAGAUCGAUCGAGCUCGACGAGGCAGAACACAUGACACGGAGGAUCCAUCACAACUGCUGCUACCAGGAACCGGAGGGAGGGGCUCGACAUCCAAGAGUGAGGCUCACGACGAACUUGGAGAACGACAACCUGCGAGGGACAUGGGUUGCAGCCGAUGUUGAGGGAUAUCGACCUACGUGGCAUGGAUCUCGGCGUCCGGCGUGUGGGCAGCGCUGCUCAGCAGGAGGGGGUGUCAUGUGGUGAACGACCUAGAAAUGGAGCUCAUUGGAGAGACGGGGCCGAGUGGAGGAGCACGUCCAACGAUCACCAUGACCGGAGCUCGAGGAAGCACAUGGAGGAGCUCCGUUCGACUUGGGUAGGAGCUGCCGCGCGCCUACUGGAUGUGAUAUCCUGGCCCCUGGGAUGGUGAUAUUCUGGUCCAAGGCUUAAUAGAAUUAAUAGAAUAUCCAUACCAAGAAGGUGUAUCUUCUUUUUCGAAAGCCUAUCUCGAAAGAACCUCAAAGUUAAGCGUGCUUGGCUUGGAGCAUUUUGGGAUGGGUGACCGACCGAGAAGUUUUGUCGGGUGCGCAUGAGUGAGGACAAAGUGCACACAAAAGACUCGUGUUGGUCUGUGGGGACAAUAUAUGAUUCUAGAGAGCUGCCAGGAGUAAGUACCGUUGGUCUGGGAGUGGACGAGGUGUUACAAGUGGUAUAAGAGCUGACCCUUGCGGUUUUACGGGUGUGUGUGGGUUAGGGGUUCGGGUAUAUGGUACAUGGCGCAUGUGGGCCCAGAGUGGUCACAUGUCAUGGCAUAUGACGACACUAGACACACAAACGUGGCUAAGAGGGGAGGUUCCUGGAUUGUAGUUGACCAACGAGAACGUCGGUCUUCUAAGGGGGUGGCUUGUGAUGUCCUGGCCCCUGGGAUGGUGAUAUCCUAGCCCAAGGCUUAAUACAAUUAGUAGGGUAUCCAUACCAAAAAGGUGCAUCUUCUUUUUCGGAAGCCUAUCUUGAAAGACCCUCCAAGUUAAGCGUGCUUGCCUUGGAGCAAUUUGGGCUGGGUGACCGACCAGUAAGUUUUCACGGGUGCGCAUGAGUGAGGACAAAGUACGCACAAAAGACUCAUGUUGGUCUGUGGGGAUAAUAUAUGAUCCUAGAGAGCUGCCAGGAGUAAGUACCAUCGGUCCGGGAGUGGCCAGGGUGUUACACUGGAGGAGGGCGUCGGAGCUAGAGCUCACGUCAUGGAGAGGAGGAGCGGUCGGUGGAGCUCGACGCUGGCAUUGAGGAGUAGCAGCUAGAGCAGAGGAGGAGCUUAGCCCCAUGGAGGACGAGCAGAGGGGUAGGCAGCUUCCAUGGUUGGAGUGGAGGCGCUGUUGGAAGUUGGAGGGAGCAGAGAGAUGUGAGUCUGGUGCACGAUAGCUUGGGUGGGGGAUGAGGAGAUUUUUCCCAAUUUGUGAGAGAAAGGCUAUUUAUACAAGUCUCCUAGGGUUAGGGUUUUUAGUGGGCUCAAAUGGGCUUGGCCCAAAUCGUUAUUGGGCUCCGCUAAUUUAUUUUAUUUUUAUCUACGUUUGAUUAAGUACGGAUUAUCGAAAUUGGAUAAUUUCUUGCGAUGUUUAAAUUGGUGCAUAUUAUUGGAAUCGAACACUGCCGAGUAUUACUUGUUUCAUAUUUGCUUUGAGAAUACGAUUAUGUAUAAAGAUCGGAGACGGAUCGAUUCUCAGUCUACGACAGGUCGAAAUCGAAUACGGGCAGAUAAAAUUUGUACCAUUAGUAUAAUUUAGUUGACAGUUACCUUGAUUUAAGUUAGUUUGAUUUAAUUUUAUUCACUCAGAUAACUUUUGUUGUCGAGUCCUAAUAAAUCCGUUUGGGGCAAAAAUCGCGAGACUGGGUUGAUUCUCCGAAUUUGCAUUCGCUUUACGAUUAAGUCGAAUAGGAACUAUUCUCGUUAAUUCCUAUGACGAAAUAAUUCUGAACUUCCCGAAAUCCUUGAUAUAAUAGAGAUAAACGAAGAUGGAUGUGACAUAGGGUUCAUUAUCCCUACUAACCUACUUGCUUAGGUUCAAAAUCACAGUUUAGCUCGUGACAAACACCUGGGGUGUUACAACAUUGUCUGGUAGGCAAGAACCGAUGAAACUGUAUCUUUGUGAUAUAAAAAGUUGUAGCAUCCGAAGUUCUUAUGGAGGUUAUCCGAAGGCCUGACCUUGGUCUGAAAAUGUAAAUCAUGAACCCUGUAGAAUGCAUCAGCUUCGGUGUGACCUCCUUGACUUCACACUGCCCAAAUAAAAAUGACAAGCUGAACUAUAGCAUUCAACGUCAGUUGAUGCAUGUAUAACUGGUACUUUUGAAGAAUCUUCGCAAUCAACUGAUACAUCUUCGCCCAGCUUUGAAGAAGCUCUUGUUGUAACACCCAAAAUCUUGAUUUUAGGGACUAGUAACAAAAAUCAAAGUAAAGUGUCCCGGACUAAUAGUAAUACUUUGGAAUCCACCCUUUUCUAAAAAAAUAAAUAGAAACAGUAAAACAAUAUUAGUUAAGAUAAAAUAGAAAUAGAAAUUCAGUUUGUAAACUUCAAGAAAUAAUGAAAAGAGCUUUAGUUUAUUAGAAUGGAUUAUCCCCUUCUAAGACUAUCUAUAAAAUAUUCUUUUACGUGUGAAAGUAACUCAUGGUAGAAAACAAAUAUACAUGACUUUCUCCUAAAAUAAUCAAGUAAUGAAUAUUCACUUUAUAUGAAAUUUUAACUACAAUACUUAAAACCAUAUUUUCUUAAAAAUAAACAUUUCAUGUGUACAUUGCAUAUUUGAAAUAAAUUUCCCAAAUAAUGGGGUAAAACAAUUCUUGCAACUCAUGCUGGAUAUUUUGUUUGUUUGAUGUGAAUUUUAUCGAAGUCUAAAAACUAGAAUAAAAAUUUGAAGUUGGAAUUUAAAACUGAAAUAGGAAAAUGAAAAAGAAAAGGGAAUAAAAAAAUGAGAAAGAACCUCCCUGGGCCGACUCGAGCAUUUCCAGCCCAAGCACCUUUUCCUUCUAGCAGCCCACCCACGCCCACGCCGCGCCCCACGCGCGCCGACACUGGGCCCAGUGGCCAGUCCCUGCAUCGUGUGGUGGAUGGCUGGCGUGUGGGACCCACUCUGUCAGCCUCCCUUCAGCGUACGCUCUCCGUGCCAUACUCGCACCGGCUGGCCGGUGGGCCCUGCUAUCCAGCCUUACACCCCGCCAACCACUUACCUCCGCGUCGCCGCUGGGUGGGCCAACGCUGCAGGAUCGUCCCCCUCGCGGACUCCACGACCGAGUUCGAUUGGAGCACCCUCGCGAUGAACACGCCGACCACUCAACAGACUCCGUAUUUUCCUAUCCUAGUUUAUUGCCAAGCAACAAACCCGCCCUAAAUCUAUGCUCCCUUGGCCAGACUCCGACCACAAGUAUAAAACCUAGCCAUGUCUUCCCCAUAGCCUUGCACCUCGCCUCCGAAAGCGCUACCAGGGGAAGAGGGCCGCCACCAUGGAUCUGCGCCGACGUGGCUGUUCGAAACACACUUGGGGACCCCGGGUGCUCGUGCGGGACCUCUGGUGGAUGGCUGCUCCUCGUCCGGGCUGGUGGUGCGACCGGUGAGGCGGAAUUCCUCAUCGGAGGGCGCCACCACCAUGAAGUCCGCACCAUACCGUGCCUGGAGCCCAUCGCCGUGUAAUUCCAUGUAAGUCGCCAUCCACUGUGUUUGUGUUGGUCUCCAUUGUCUUCGGCGUGCCCACAAAUUAAGCUCGGGUAACCGGUGUUGGAGGGUGGGAUAGCCGGUAAUGGCGUCAGCGUCCUGGGUGGGGCGGCGCCGGGUUGGGUCAUCGGGGUAAGCAAGAGAGGGAGAGAUGUAGGGGGUGAAAUCGUGAUCCUUGGAGAGAAAACGAAGGCUCGGAUUAGAUUAUGUUAUACUUCUUCAGUCCAUCCGAUCAUGGACGUCGAAAUAAGAUCCAAUGGACCGGAUGUGAUCAUGUGUUAUCAAAUACCGACUGUGGAUCUCGAAUCCUAUGGUUAUCAAUGCGUACCGGUUCACAUGGGAUUAAAAUCUAAUCUGGACCGUUCAGGUUUGAUCGGGUGGCUGGGGUGGCUACGUACCCCUUUGCCGCGACUUUUAGCUAAAUAGACCCUAGGUUUAUCUGAAUUCAAGGCCGUCGUCCAUAUACAAAUUAAAAUAAAUAGAAUUAAAUCAGGACUUUGCAAAAACACCCUUGGGACUUAUGUUGAGAUAUAAAAUCAUUAGUAAAAUACCUAGGAACUUAUGUAUGCCAUAACUUUAGCAUUUUAACACCGUUUUUGUCCGUUCAAGUUGCGUUAGCUUCGUAAUAAAAUUGUCUAUGCAGUGGCGACAUUGUUUGUACCAUAAAACAUAUUUUUAUAAAUAGAUAUUUGUUUAUCCUAUGAUUAGUAGAUUAGACCUUCUAACCAAUGUUAAACUGGUCCAUGAUGGUAAUCUGACUAAAGUAUGAUUUCUAAUCAAGUUAUAAUAUAGAUUAAAGUUUAGUUAAUUAUUUAUAGAAUAUUCUCUCAUAUGAUGUAUACUAAUCAAUUUAUAAUAUAGUUUAAUAUUUAAAUCACAUAGAUCUUCCAUAAAUCAUAACUCCUUAACCGUAAUUCUGAUUUUAGUAGUUCUCGAACCCGCGAUCUCAUAGCGGCGCGUAGAAUAUUCCUACACUCUUUGUUCUCAUGAUGGGUGUAAUGUUAUUUUUAUGUAUUCCCUAUCUAUUUGUAUGUAUUGCUAUGAGUAGAAGUGAGGUCACGAGAAAUCUGAAGACCAACUUGGUGAAGUACCUGGAAUCUCAAGUAUAAGGCAAGUUGUGCCCUUGAUCACUCCUUUUUACCUAAUAAUGUUCGCUAUUAAUCACUGUGACAUGCUUAGGUUAAGAGGAUGGAACCUAAUAGGUUUCCCUAGCAUUGUUUAUCCCCCACCUUGCAGAAGAUGAACUAUUGGGUAGAUUUGCUAUUGCUCUACCUGGUUUUGGGGAAAUUAAUGUUUUAUUAUGAUCAUGUUCCAAUUAUGUUGUUGUUUUAAUUAUUGUUCAUGAUAAGAUCAUCAUGUUAAUUGGAACAUGGAGAACUACCCGGGAAAAACCUGCUACCACAAGGGUGGAAUGCGACGCCCUUGUCCAAGUAAUUAGGAAAGCUAGGGAGAGAUUACCUUACCCGGAAGGGGCAAGUGGGGAGGCAUCACUGCUAGACUAUAGGGAGGUCAUCGGGUCGAACUGUCUGUAAAGAUUUUUGGAUGAGGGAUUCCUAUGCUUCCUUCUUCUUAAAUCCGUUGCGGGUUUUCUCGGACUAGUGGACUUUGAAAAGAACUCGUAGUGCUACCCUGCCUCGCUUCCUUGGUAGAGGUGUAUGGGUUCCGCACAACCCCGCGGCAAAUGGGUAACACGACUUGUGGGUAAAGAUGUGCAACCUCUGUAGAGUGUAAAACUGGUAUAUCAGCUGUGCUCACGGUCAUGAGUAGCUCGGACACUCACAUGAUUAACUUAUGAAAUUAAACUUAAUUUGUCAUAUGUAUUGCAUUAUGGGUGAUGUUAUUAAUUUUGAUCUCUUAUUUAAUUGGGUCGGUAUCUACUUAUACUUAGUAACUGCUAAUAAAAUUUUGACAAAUUCUAAAAGCAAUGCUCAGCUUUAACCAUCACCUUUGGUAAGCCUUACACUUCACAUGAGCUCCCACCUUUGGUGAGUUCAUGAACAUUAUUCCCCACAACUUGUUGAACGAUGAACGUAUGUGAGCUCACCCUUGUUGUACUCACAUCCCCCAGGACAAGAACAGGUACCACUGGACAAGGCGCAUGAAGGAUGCUGUGAUGAGUUUGUGAGUGGUCUAGGCCAUCGUCUCCUAGUCAACUAUGGUUGCUGGAUUGUUGUCUUCGUAUGCUGUAAUUAUUUAACUAUUUUGUACAAAACUCCAUUAUAUAUUAAUGAUGUGACGUUCGUUUCUAUACCAUGAGUCAUCAUAUGUGUGGACUUGAUCCUAGCACACUUGGUGAAGUUCGCGUCCGGGUUUUGGACACCUAAAAUCUGGGUGUGACACUUGUAGACAACAACUUCGUCUUUCCCAAGAUUUGGAGUUGUCUCUUCAUUAGGAAGUCACACAUUAACUUUGUUGCUAAAAUACCCAAGUUUUAUUUCAUUGAUUGCAAAUCCUUAUCGUUGAGAAUAGAUCGACC